Molecule: ribosomal RNA, 253 nt
Filed under: uncultured bacterium
Lineage: Bacteria
Description: partial 16S ribosomal RNA
Rfam family: Bacterial small subunit ribosomal RNA
Source: RNAcentral
UACGUAGGGCGCAAGCGUUGUCCGGAAUUAUUGGGCGUAAAGAGCUCGUAGGCGGUCUGUCGCGUCUGUUGUGAAAACUCGAGGCUCAACCUCGGGCUUGCAGUGGAUACGGGCAGACUAGAGUGCGGUAGGGGAGACUGGAAUUCCAGGUGUAGCGGUGAAAUGCGCAGAUAUCGGGAAGAACACCCGUGGCGAAGGCGGCUCUCUGGGACGGUACUGACGCUGAGACGCGAAAGCGUGGGGAGCGAACAGG